This is a non-coding RNA of Rattus norvegicus (Norway rat), 37 nucleotides long. The record is from Rfam. NCBI's taxonomy places the organism in Eukaryota, Metazoa, Chordata, Mammalia, Rodentia, Muridae.
CUGCUUUGAGGAAAAACAGAAUAAAGACUGCAUGUUU